Molecule: long non-coding RNA, 1441 nt
Organism: Drosophila pseudoobscura
Lineage: Eukaryota; Metazoa; Arthropoda; Insecta; Diptera; Drosophilidae
Exons: 2
Source: RefSeq, a predicted model, not a curated record
GGUCAAUUCAUAGCUUGUUGCCAUUGGUUUUUAAUCAGCUACAGAAAAUCACGGAUGGCCGUGACAAUGUGCCACAGCGUGUUGCGUUUCCGAAUUUGACAUUGACUUUGCUUCCAAAACGAAUCCUUGUCAGUCGGUCAUGCUUUGUUUUUUAUGUUUCGAUAAUCUACUCCGCUCAAGUAUCAUUCCAAAAUUGUUUGUUCUGUCCGAGAAAAAUAGCUUGUUCAGCUUGAUAGUUAUAUGGGGUACCUCGCCGUGUGCCUCACGAAAUUCGUCCAGCAGACGGUAGUAGUGCUCCGUGGCUAUCGGUUCUGUGCUGGCCUUACAAUUGGCAUGGUCCUCGCUUUCCUCCUCAAGGAGGAAAUUCUUCUACUGCGCGAGGGCAUAGGGCAGAUUCUCAAUAUUCCCUGGGCUCUGCUGUCCGAUGCCCUCACGCAGUACAAGAAUUUCCUCCUCAAGGAGGAAAGCUAGGACCAUGCCAAUUGCAAUGCCAGCAGUGAUCCCAUAGCCAUACGGGGGACCUCGCCGUGUGCCUCAGGAAAUUCGUGCAGCAGACGGUAGUAGUGCUCCGUGGCUAUCGGUUCAGUGCUGGCCUUACAAUUGGCAUGGUCCUCGCUUUUCUCCUCAAGGAGGAAAUUCUUCUACUGCGCGAGGGCAUAGGGCAGAUUCUCAAUAUUCCCUGGGCUCUGCUGUCCGAUGCCCUCACGCAGUACAAGAACUUCCUCCUCGAGGAGGAAAGCUAGGACCACUCGAAUUGCAAUGCCAGCAGUGAGCCCAUAGCCACGGAGCCUUACCACCGGCUGUUGGACGAACUGCCUGGGGCAUACGGCAAGGUCCCCCAGAUAAAUCUUAAGCUGAACAAGAUAUUCCUCAAGCGGCUGGACGAGAGCGACUACCUUCAUUCUCAGAGCGGAGAUUCAACGUGUCUCCCACUCCAGCUGCGACGGAUCACUUUCCAAUUAUGGGUGGACUUCCUACUGCAGAGGAGGCAUUCGGAAAGGUCAUGUCGGUCAAUGGGGAGCAACAAAAGACGCUGGACGAGAACCGAAACCUGCCCAAGGACCAAGGACUGCAUAAUCAUCAAGUUCCUACAGAAUGCCUAUCACCGGAACAUUUGGGACACGGACAGCUUUUUACUGGAGACCCAACUGUCCACCAGUUGCCGGACAUAUUCUGCGAGCAGCUUCAUCCGAUUCCGGCAGGCCUCCACGGACUGGAUUUGAUGUCUACCGUGCAUAAAGUAUCUUCAGAAUUUGGCUCUCUUGCUCAUCUUUCACAGAGAGUUUAUCCAGAAAGCAAGAAGCCACCAAAACCCCGGCCCUCUCCAUUUCUUCCUUCGGCAUCUUGGAGAACGGCACAUGCUGUGGCCCAUUCGCAAGGCAAUCCGUGAUCUUCUGUAGCUGAUUAAAAGCCAAUGGCAACAAGCUAUUAAUUGACCUCA